AGCGUUUAUCACGGGGAUGACUCAGCCCGCCCGAGCCUCUCUCUCCCUGAAAAGGGAAUCUGAGGCCAGGGCCGGGGUGAGAGUGUCCAUUAGACCAUCUAUAGCCUCGGGAGCCCGGAAACUCCCCUCACCUGGGAAGCACGCAGGACGGACGGACGGGAUGAGUAAAGCUCAGAUGAGGAAACCGAGGCAGAGAGAAAGAUGUAUGUCCAAAGUCACAGGCGCGCAGUCUCCAGAAGCCUGCAGUUUUGACUGCUUGGCUAUGUCACCUCUGAUUUAUGACACAACGUCAUGUGGCAGCACCGAGGCCACGGUAUAUGGAGGUUCCCAGGCUAGGGGGUCUCAUCAGAGCUGUAGCUGGCGGCAUACACCACAGCCACGGCAACACCGGAUAUGAGCCAUGUCUGCAACCUACAUCUCACAGCAACAGCAGAUCCUUAAUCCACUGAGAAAGGCCAAGGACUGAACCUGUGUCCUUGGGAUGCUAGUCAGAUUUUGUCUGCACUGAGCCACUGCCAGAACUCCGUGUAGCAACUCUUAAACUGACCAAAGAAGUCAAUUUAGAGAAGGGAGCAGCCUCUGGCAGAAAAGAUUGGAUGUCUGCCCAGGCCUGAUUGGUCAGCCAUGGAAGGACCCUCCUCAGAGGGGACGUGGGUCCUUAACACAGAGAUGCAGCCGCUCCCCCGCCAACCCGCACACACACAUAUGCACGUGGACCCGGACACACUCCAGGUCGUCAGGAAUCAGCCACCCAACAAAUAUUCACCAGGCUUUAUGCUAAGGAGUGCAGUUCAGCAACUGACAACACAAGCAGAAGCCCCUGCUUGCUUGGUGCCGACGCUCUAAUGGGGAGAUUUACAGCAUAAGUAAAAUGAAAAACGAAGCUGUGUAAAUAGACUCACUCACCUGCUGUCAUCCCCCAAGUCACACCUUCCACCUCCUCCGGGGCUCCAGGUUCUGGGGCUGCAUUCCUGCCUCUGGCUUGGCCUCUACUACUCCGCUCCGCUAAAUCUCCUCGCACCCCACUCCCCUCCAAACACCGCCUGCCUUGUUUGGGUCACCGUCACCCACGCCCACUCCUGAGGGCUGGCACCUGCCCGUGAACCCAUCCCAGGGAAUCCCCCAGGUGCAACCCGUGAGAUGCUGGGACUGGCAGCCCCUUGCCCAUCCCUCUCCCCCACCAGUCCUGUCCCCAGCAGUGAGCCCGGCUGGUCCACCGCGCCCAGAGUCUCCCCCCAGCCCUCCUCUCCAUCUCCCCCAGCCCCUAGAUCUUGCCGGGGCUUGGCUCCUUGUAAUGGGAGCAUCUCCAGUGCAAGAUUGUUCAGAAGGAACUGAUGAACCACAGAAGGAGCUGCGGUUCUGUUCUGGAAUCUACCAGGCGUGGUGGGCUGUGGGCUUCAUCACCUGGCAUUGCCUCGGGCGUCUACUUUCACGUCAGAGUCCCCCUGGGGUCCUCUCUCCACCUGCGUCUCUAACACGACGCUCUGUCCCCCGUCCUCCUUCUCUGACUUUCCAAGCUUCCGGUCCUCCGGCUCGGGACCCUCUGAGGUUACUCUUUCUCCCCAGACCAGCUCUGCCCACCACUACCCUGCGUGUCCAUAAAUGACAAAAGACACGUGCUCUAGUCGUCCCGCGGACAGGUGACAAAACAGAGACAGGAGGAGGUGAGGGCUCGUCCUGGUUGGGGAACAGACUGGAGCCAGAGAAGGACUAAACCUCAGGUCUCUGGGCCUGAGCUUGUUCCCAGGGACUUCAAGGAAGUUUCUAGUGAUCUAACCUCUUUGUUUCAGAGUUGUCAAACAAAAACACCCAUCUCCUCUUCUUUCUUCAGUCUUUCCCUCUUCAUCCCUUGUGACCAGGCCUGACUCCCUCCCUCCCUCCCUCUCUCUCUCUCUUUCACACACACACACACACACACACACACACACACACACACACACACUCGGUUUGGGAUGGGGAGGUGUGGGAGGGCUGAGACUUGGAAGCCUGCCUCAUACACCUCCCUCCCUCGAUGAGGCUCCUGGAGGGGUGGAUACAGACACGGUUUUUGUCUCUAAGGAGAGAGUCAACUUUUUUGCACCCCUCCCCCCAGCCCUGGGGUGAGCUUCCUUCCACCGAGGUCUGAGGGCUACUGAGCUGGUCAGAGGUCCUCCUGAGCUGCACGUAUCCCCAACAAGGAGACGAGCAACGGCUCGCCCCUUUACAGCCAAAGAACCUGUCUAACCUUGGCCCGCAGUCAGGAGAGGAGAGCAGAAACCAGAAGUCACCCGAUGCCGCCUCACUCCUAGAAUCCACUCCCAGGUCAAAGAGUAAGAAUGGUCUCCACAGCAGCUGAUGUGUUAAACUUGUGGACCCUUCUGCAUCCCUGAGGAUUCGUGAGCCCCGAAAAACAUGCUGCCCUGAGCUUUCCUGGCCCCACCAAGAUUCCUGGCUGCUGAAUUUUCAAGAACGACUCACCUCCCGAGCACAAGGCAAUUACACAAACCUCCUAGGCAACCUCUGGAGGGGGAAAAAUGCAGACGAAGAGGGCCACCUGAAAAAAAAAAAAAAAAAGAAAAAGUCCAGCAUAAGGACAGCUUAAUAAAAUGCAUGUGUUCAAC
Molecule: long non-coding RNA, 2600 nt
Filed under: Sus scrofa (pig)
Lineage: Eukaryota; Metazoa; Chordata; Mammalia; Artiodactyla; Suidae
Description: lncRNA (ENSSSCG00035051471.1)
Source: RNAcentral